CCUACGGGCGGCAGCAGUGGGGAAUAUUGGACAAUGGGGGCAACCCUGAUCCAGCCAUGCCGCGUGUGUGAAGAAGGCCCUCGGGUUGUAAAGCACUUUCAGUGAGGAAGAACGCCUGGUGGUUAAUACCCAUCAGGAAAGACAUCACUCACAGAAGAAGCACCGGCUAACUCCGUGCCAGCAGCCGCGGUAAUACGGAGAGUGCGAGCGUUAAUCGGAAUUACUGGGCGUAAAGCGCGCGUAGGUGGCUUGAUAAGCCGGUUGUGAAAGCCCCGGGCUCAACCUGGGAACGGCAUCCGGAACUGUCAAGCUAGAGUGCAGGAGAGGAAGGUAGAAUUCCCGGUGUAGCGGUGAAAUGCGUAGAGAUCGGGAGGAAUACCAGUGGCGAAGGCGGCCUUCUGGACUGACACUGACACUGAGGUGCGAAAGCGUGGGUAGCAAACAGGAUUAGAUACCCCGGUAGUC
This 465-nucleotide ribosomal RNA is filed under the name Vreelandella stevensii. Its description in RNAcentral is "partial 16S ribosomal RNA". It matches the Rfam family "Bacterial small subunit ribosomal RNA", at positions 338 to 795 of the family's 1533-position model. Lineage: Bacteria; Pseudomonadati; Pseudomonadota; Gammaproteobacteria; Oceanospirillales; Halomonadaceae. The record is from RNAcentral.